CAAAGAAAACCAGCAGUAUCAUCUCAGUCUGCUCAGCCUGCUGAUUAAAGGACUGGGAAUAUGGAAAGAGGGAAAACGGGUGCUGCUGGCUGCAUGCAAACACCAGAGUGCUACAGCACUCUACCUGGAACUCUCUGCAGGUUUGCUUUCAGCUGGGACAGUUAUUUAUUUUUUUUCAUAGUGUCUAAUACCAUGCUAUGUUUUGGCUUUGGGAGAAAACAAUGUUACUACCACAUGUUUUUGUUCUUGCUGAGCAGUGUUGUACAGAACCAAUGAUGUUUCAACUUCUGGUACUGCGCUGUCAGUGACGGGGGCUUCAGGGCACAGCAGACAGACCAUGACAGCUGACCUGAACUGGCCAAAGGGAUACUUCAUGCAGUAUAGCAUCACGUGAAAAUACUGUAAAACUGAGGGAAGUUGGCUGGAUGGGUAACCACUGCUUGGAGACUGACUGGGCACCAGCUGGUGGGUGAUGAGCAAUUGCAUUGUAAAUCACUUGUCUGGUAAAUGCAUAUUAUUACCAUUACUAUUAAUAUUUUCCUGGACAAUCCUUUAGAAAUUUUGAACAACCUUAUGCAGACUACAAAAAUUACAGUAUCUCACUGUCUGCCAAACAGCAAUAACUACCUACAGGGCAAGUCCUGACACAGCAGAAGGAAUGAUUUGAAACUAUUCCUAAAUAGAAAACAUCUGAACACUAAAAAUACGACUCUAUAUAUUCUUAUAGAUACCUGUAGUUCUUUCCAAUUCUGAAAUUACAAGGUCAUCUGACUUUAAAUCUCAUUUAAGCCAUUAAAUCUCACUCACUCAUAAAUCAAAUGUCUUGGAUUCAAUCAAAAAUACGAGAAACUCAUCCUAUCUUGAGCUGAAGAAGCGAAGGGGGAGGGAACCCACUCUGUCCCCUGUGUUUUGUCAUGGUUGAUCAUAUUUUAUUGUUUAGAAAGUAAACUCUGAUUUUUAAACUGAAUCCACUGUUUGAACAUCCAGCUACCAGUUUUGGCUACAUCUUCAUGUAUUUUUCAACAUAGUAAUCACCAUUAGCUGAUUUGUGUGGAUGAGCUGAUUGACACACUCUUCAUUCUGUGGGGCAACAGCUCUGCAUGGCUGUCCAGAAUGUGGCUUAUCUUUCACAUCAAUGUCACCGCUGCUGAAAUGCACCACCCACUGCCUCACUGUGCUCACAUCCAUUGGUUGGUCUCCACAAAUAUUCAGCAAGCAUUGAUGAAUGUCAGUAGGAGCCAUUUUUUCUGCAUGGAGGAAUUCAACUCCACACCAUUACUUCACAUGCACUUUGAUUUGUCAGAUGGCCCCUCUGCUGCCACCUGUCACGUGGCAACAAAAUGUAACGGGAUAUUGGUGGGAAGGUUCAGCCUCUACUGUCACACCACCAACAUUCACCUUGGAUGUCAUGGGCCAAUAUAAUAAAGUAGAAGGUGUUACUUUUGGAGCAGUCAUCAUAUAAAUACUUUCAUAUUUGGACACGUUAAGACAUAACUUAUUUAAAUUGUUCGAUUUCCAGACUAAUCCAGCCUAUGUGAUUGUUCUGCAUUAUUGUACUUCUUCUCAUUACUCACCCAGCCCACCACCACUGUUAAAAUGACAAUAUUUUUAGAUGGAGGUGUUGAGCCAGAUACCGUAACUAAGCCUUGACCUCUAUGAACAAUCCAGCUUUGGUUAUUUCUUCAGAUCCAUUAGCCCAUCAGCUUUUAAACCAUUAAAUAUGCUGCACUGACGCUAAGUGAGACUAAGUGAGUAGUAUGAAGCACUCUACCAAAGUUCACUCUACACAGUUUUGUUCUCAAGCUUCUUACCUACGCAAGUGAUGAAGAUAUACUUGUCAAGAUCUUUUGUCCCUAAGCCAUACUUACUGGUGUUAGUUAUAGUCUUAUCCUUUUAUUCCUUAUCAAAGAAAUCUUGUGUUUUCUUAUCCAUUAUUUUAAUGAGGACUGACUUUAACACGAUGGGCUGCUUUACUAGUACCUGACUCAUCUUGCUUAGCCAAAUGGGAACUGGUCCUGACACUGCUCUUUCUGAAACGUUUUGAGAUGUACAUUUAUUACACUAAAUGGACCAUCUAUCUCCUCCAGUGACAGAGGCAGGCAGGAGUGUAUUUUUAAGAAGGUACCACUCUACACUUGCCUAGUGAAAAGUACAAGUGUAGGGCAUUUUCUACUUGUCACUGUCCAGAAAUACCUUAUGAGGUCUAACAGACCUUUGAUCUGGCAGCCUUUUCUUUAUUAUGAUUACUUAUAAGACUCCAGGGUUAUCUGGAACUGCUGAUCGAAUAAUAUACAUAGAAUGAUUUCUCAUCCCUCAUACUUCAUUUUUAGACACCCUUUUACAAGGAAUCCUUUUCAGUAUAACUAUCCCAAAUACACUGUGCAUGAAAAAUGCUCCUAGUACAGUUGUAGCUUAUACUGUAAACAACCACUUUGGUUAUUAAGAUUUAUGCCAUACUUCUUCCUAAGUAAAAUAAUUCUAAUAAUGGAAUUAGCCUUGCUGACAAACCUAUCCCAGCAAAAGUUCACAAUUUAAAACCUGCCCAGUGCUUGUGCACUGAAAACAGCUUUAUUUAAUCUCCAUGAACCACAAACACAUCUAGCUAUUGCUCCUACUUUGAAAAUGAGAACACUUAACUCCAGCACCCCUCUUUCAUCUGCUGAUGGAAAUACACCUUUGCUUAAACCUGCUGUUCCUAAUGUACUACAAAGCUCUUUGUCCUCUACUUUCCGUGUCAAGAGCAGUUUCAGUAGCCAUAGCAAGCAGUAAAAAAACAAGAACACAAACACUCAGAGGUCUAGGGUUUUGAAGUCCACAUUUGUUCAAAAGAGAUGUAGUCUUUGCUAUGUACCGUGGGUUGCUUAGGUGAAUAGCAGAGAUGUCACUAAUAGAAGUAUUUCAUUCUUCCUGUGUAUCACUAAUGAUUUAGCAGAGUACUCUGGUUUUCACACAUACAAGUUUUUAUAUUUAACUACAUCAAACUUCUGACUGUUACGUAGUUAGUUUCAAAAGUACAUCGCACUCAGCUAACGUGAAAAGAUAUAUUUCUCCAAUUAUUUCUUUCAGUAAGUUAGCAGCUACUAGUUACGAAGUAAACCUUUCUACCACCACUAUAAGCAACUUUCUUUAUUUUCCUUAUUUACUUAUUUUUAAUUAAACAAUUUCAGGUUAAGUAUUGAGACAAGAACAAUAUUAAUAACCAAAACAGAAAAGAAAAGAGUUUAGACCCUUGGAUAAGAAUAUUUCCUCUCCACUAAAAGGUUUCAAAUAUAAAUGGGAAGACACAAAAAUUUAUUUGUACAAGGGCUGCUCUGAAAGUAACACCUCCCAUUUUAUUACGUUGGUCCAUGAUGUCAGAGGUGGAUGUUGGUCAUGUGGUAUUAGAGGCUGAACCUUCCCACCAAUAUUAUAUUACAUUUUGUUGUCAUACAAUAGGUGGCAGCAGAAGGGCAGUCAGUCAAAACAGCGCCUGACAUGGAAGCGCAUAUGAAAGAAAAGCGUAAACAAUUGCACCCAUUGAUAUUCAUUGAUGCUUGAUGAAUAUUUACGGAUACCAAAAGUUUUCAAGCAUGUUCCUGCUCUUGGACUCCCUCAUUACAUGUGAGAGAAGAAAUGGCUGUGAGUAUCAGUUGUGAAAACGGCUUCCUUUCUGGCAGCUCAAGAAAUGGGAGUUCCCCCAUUCCUGAUCAUGCCGGGCUUACAGGCUGGCAUGAGAAACAUUAGUAGCUGGGGAUAACAUUUAGGUGAUGAAUAGAUGAGGACAAAUAGUCUCUCCUUAAUGACCCAAAAGCUGCUGUUACCUGACUCUUGAGCAGCAAGGAAAAAGAAGAUAGAGGUGGAAUGGUUAUAUGCUGACAGGAUGAAUAACCAAGAAUGACCAGAAAAAAAAGUUAAUAUUCAUAUGUUCACAAGACAUCUGGCGAUAUGCCUCCCAGUGACAUCAUAGCUUUUUUGACAUCUCUCCUUCCAAUGACCUAACGUUUGGAUAUGCUGAAUAUUUGAGGGUAACUUGCCACAUAUUCUGGACUUCCAUUCCUCAGCUGAAUGACUAAUUUGUAUGUGCUCAGAACUAAACAGUUUGUGGGAUGCCCUGCUGUUCAUUAUAAUUUUCUAUGCACUUUGAAUUUGUUGGGGAAAAAAAAAAAAGGCUUCAAAAGCAUAGAGGCAUGAAAAUGGAAGGAACCUCUGAAGAACAUCUGGUCCAAUUCCUGCUCAGAGCAGGGUCUCAAGCUACAGCAGGUUGCUUGAGGCUUUGUGCAGUUCUGUUCUGAGCAUCCCCAAAGAUGAGCGAAUUCACCAGUUUGAUCAACUUCAAGGUAUUUUUUUCCUUCUUAUAUCUCAAUUUGUGCCACCACCUCUCACUCUGACACUGAACACCCAAUGAGUAACAUUGGCAAUGUUGUCUUCACUCCCCUCAUGAGGUAUUUAAGGUAAAAUCCUCCUGAGCCACCUUUUCUUCAGCCUGAACAGUUCCAGCUCUUUCAGUCUCUCCUCAUAUAUCAAAUGCUCCAGUACCUUAACCAUUCUAGUGGCCUAUCUUCUAUGAAAUACUGUAUAAUAAAGGCCAUUAGAGGCAAGCCCCAGCCACAAAACUUACCAAUGCACAUGUGAUAAACAAUAAAUACUUUGACCUUUUAAAAAAAUGCUUAUAUGAGAUCUCACUUGCUGUUGAUUAUGAAUCAGUGAACAUCUUUCUCUGCUCUUGCCUCCUCGGCCUCUUUCAUCCUAACAAGAAUAUUAAUUUAUUUUACAUUUAUAUCACACUUAUGGUGAAAACUAACAAUUCUUUUUAAGGUAAUUAUUUUAGAAACCUGUCCUGCAAUACAAGGUUGCACUGAUUCUAUAAAAGUUUAACUAAAACUCUGGUGAAGUAAAUAGAUUUGUUUUUGAAGCGUAAUGACUUCUCCUCUGUUCACAGUACCAUGGUCAGGGUACACAUUUGCCAUGUAAGAAUUUCACAAGCAAUCCCAAAUUACUUUUAAAGCCUGUGUGUUAGGACAGGAAAGACUACAGCACAAGGGUACAGCUGAGUCAGUGCUGAGCCCAAAGCAUAGACAUGCCCAACAUAAACAUUGUGUGUGUGCUGCUCACAGCCAGAUAAGUCACGCAUGCAUCAGUUGAUAAGCGUGACAGUCAGUUUACUUCCAGUUUACUUCAAUGGUGAGAAUAGCACAAGAAGCAGUCUCCUCAAGCCCUGAUCACAUAAUUACAUGAAUUUACCUCCUUGUUGCCAUAGGGCUGCUUGUGGUGUGUAAUUUCUAAUAGCUGGAACACUCUAGGCUGCAUCUCUCAUGGAUCAACAGUGACUGUUUUCUUGAAAAACAAAAGAAAAUCUGAUUAACUUUUAGGACAAGGAGCAGAAAACACUGCCAGCCAAGCACAUCGCUUUUGACAGAACAUUCCUCCAAACGUUCUGCAGUCUAUGAAAGGAGACCCUUUCCCCACUUUCUUUUUCCCCCAUUUCUGUCUCCUUGCAUGAGCAGCACUGGGCCAAGGCACCACAGCUGCCUUUUACAAAAGUGCCAGUAGCCCUGGGGGUAGCACCGUUCCCAAUUCGUGUGGGAGCCACUUUCCCCACCAAAAUCUGGGGCCCCUCUGCUUAACUGUUGUUAUUACUGUUAGUAAUACUUGCAGGGUGCAGCCAUACCCGCUGACACAAGACCACCCGAAGCCCGAGGCCCCCUAACACCCAUCGCUCCAUCUCCGCGCCCCAAAAUCCCCCCAUAUCCGCACCCCGGGACGCCUCGGCCAGGCCGGCGGCAGAGCGGGGCCCGCCGGGCCGCACCACAACAAGGCCGGGCCGGGCCACGGGCCUGCACCGCGGGAUAGCGGCCUUAGGGCGGGGGAGGCUCCAGUAUGGAGGGGCCGGGUCGGGUGGGGGUCCCCG
This is a long non-coding RNA of Gallus gallus (chicken), 5887 nucleotides long. The record is from Ensembl. Lineage: Eukaryota; Metazoa; Chordata; Aves; Galliformes; Phasianidae.